UUGGUAGCUGAAGAAGCAGGAAUGACACUCAAUUACUGAUGGAAAGAAGAGAAAAGGAACACAUUAAAAACAUAUCCAGUAUACAUACAGUUGAUCCACAAUCAAUCGCCAUGGUCUGCAAACCCCAUGGAACACCAAGGCCCACCAGAAUGUCAAAGACAUUGCUUCCUAUUGUGUUGGAUACUGCCAUGUCACCAAGGCCUGCAAAGGAAAAACAACCUUCAGAUAGACUGCAGCCACGGGGAACCUGCAGGUUGGCUACUGGAUUUAGUCUGUGGACACACAGCUCACAUGGAUGCUGAAAAGUGGUCCAGAAAAGAACUCAACCAGAUGGGAGUCAAAGAUAUUAAGCACUUCUGUGGGGUAUGGGUUUAAUCAGCAAUGACUUCACUUUAGGAACCAUCAAGUGGGACAUGAAAUAAAAAUUUUAAAAAAGAGUAAAUGGUGAUGAAGUCGCUAGGCAUUACUCAAAAUCCAGUCCUAAUGCUCAUCACUGGCUGCCAUCUUAUUCUACACCAGUAUCAAUAAACGUGAGGAAGGCAGAAGAACUCUUCUCUGUCUAAUUUCCCCAAGGCACUGGCUUAACUAUUGACUCCUUU
Long non-coding RNA from Cygnus olor (mute swan), 599 nucleotides. RefSeq lists it as uncharacterized. The transcript is spliced from 3 exons. NCBI's taxonomy places the organism in Eukaryota, Metazoa, Chordata, Aves, Anseriformes, Anatidae. The record is from RefSeq and is a predicted model, not a curated record.